UCUCAAGGAACAGCUUGAACUCAGCUUUAAAGAUAGAAGUUUUGCUCUACUCAGUCCAGGAGCAAUUUGUAGCAGAUGUGUAAGAAGACAGAUAGGAUGGACUAUGUCUCCCUCCCAGCUCUUGGUGGCUCUACAAGGACUGAAGGAAAAGAAUUUACACUGGAGGACAAAUUGAAAAUGUGAUGAGACAAGAAAAUGGGAACCUGAGCAUGAAGAGGCACAUAGCAUGUCCAAAGAAUCUACGUGUCAUCCCGAGUGUGGGGACAUAACUGUUGGAAUGUGAGGAAGAUCAUUGGAAGACAGAUCUCAGGGGAAAGACACUAGUGACGCAAAGACAGUCAGGAGUCCAUGACACUCGUCCAGCAUCUCACAUCAGAAGAACAUCCAGUGUGACUGGAGACCAUGACAGAGCCCAAAUGCUGCCAGUGUAGCUGAUCCAAAUGGUUACUCUCCUGUCUGUGUUUCUUGUGGCAAAUUUAAGAGAAGGUGAUAGAGAGGUAAGUCCAAGACAAUGCUCUAUUUUCUUACAGGUAUGAACCAAUAUAAUAAAAUCCUAGAUAACAGCAUAAAAAUGAUUUCAUUCUGUGAUUAGCACAGGGCUGACUUCGAACUGUGAAGUGAAUUAUCUUAAGAAUUGAGUCCUUCAGGGUCACCCGCAACCAUAUGA
Non-coding RNA from Oryctolagus cuniculus (rabbit), 667 nucleotides. The record is from RefSeq and is a predicted model, not a curated record. Lineage: Eukaryota; Metazoa; Chordata; Mammalia; Lagomorpha; Leporidae.